UUGCGCUUGUUAAACAUACCCUCUCAGUUAUACCCGUUUGCUUAUUCUCUGUCUUUCGUGCCCCGGCUUAUUUUCUAAAGGCUAUUAGGAGUAUCGUCAUUAAGUUUUAGUGGAGAAAAAUUCUCAAAGUGGCAUCUGUUGGAAGAAAUAUAAAGAUCUUUGCAAACCAAUGAAUCUGGGAGGGCUUGAAGAGUUUCAAUCAAGCUCGUUUGGCUAAAAUUGUUUGGUGUCUCUUUUGGUCUCCCAAUUCGCUGUUGGGGCAGAUUCUCCUCAACA
RNAcentral lists this long non-coding RNA (276 nucleotides) under Actinidia chinensis (golden kiwifruit). RNAcentral's name for it is "long non-coding RNA (ACHI_LNC004661)". Lineage: Eukaryota; Viridiplantae; Streptophyta; Magnoliopsida; Ericales; Actinidiaceae. The record is from RNAcentral.